CUUGCAAACUAAAGAUGGCGACCGGCGCACGGGUGAGUAACACGUAUCCAACCUGCCGAUAACUCGGGGAUAGCCUUUCGAAAGAAAGAUUAAUAUCCGAUGGUAUAUUAAAACCGCAUGGUUUUACUAUUAAAGAAUUUCGGUUAUCGAUGGGGAUGCGUUCCAUUAGUUUGUUGGCGGGGUAACGGCCCACCAAGACUACGAUGGAUAGGGGCUCUGAGAGGAAGGUCCCCCACAUUGGAACUGAGACACGGUCCAA
This 259-nucleotide ribosomal RNA is filed under the name uncultured bacterium. Its description in RNAcentral is "partial 16S ribosomal RNA". It matches the Rfam family "Bacterial small subunit ribosomal RNA", at positions 74 to 334 of the family's 1533-position model. The record is from RNAcentral.